GUCUUUUUGUUUAUAUAUAAAGUCAGGCCUGCUCAAUGAUUAAUUAAAUAGCUGCAGUAUUUUGACUGUACAAAGGUAGCAUAAUCAUUAGUUUUUUAAUUGAAAGCUUGUAUGAAGGGUUUAACGAAAAAAAAUCUGUCUCAAUUAUAAAAAAUUGAAUUUUAUUUUUAAGUUAAAAAGCUUAAAUUUAAUUAAAAGACGAGAAGACCCUAUAGAGUUUAAUAUUUUAGUUAAAAAAAUAUUUUAGAAUUUUUGUUUAAUAAAAAAUAUUUAAUUGGGGUGAUUUAUAAAUUUAAAAAACUUUAUAUUAAUUUUAACAUUAUUUUAUGAAUUAUUGAUCCAUUAAAAUGAUUAUAAGAUGAAAUUACCUUAGGGAUAACAGCAUAAUUUUCUUUGAGAGUUCUUAUCGAAAAGAAAGAUUGUGACCUCGAUGUUGGAUUAAAAUUUAAUUUUGGUGUAGAAGCUGAAAUUUUAAGUCUGUUCGACUUUUGAAAUUUUACAUGAUCUGAGUUUAGACCGGUGUGAGCCAGGUUGGAUUCUAUCUUUAAUAAAAAAUAAUAUUUUAGUACGAAAGGACCAAAUAUUGUUAAAAUUUAAUUAUUUUUGAAUA
Molecule: ribosomal RNA, 610 nt
Filed under: Ptiliolum sp. MNCN-AI649
Lineage: Eukaryota; Metazoa; Arthropoda; Insecta; Coleoptera; Ptiliidae
Description: partial 16S ribosomal RNA
Rfam family: Bacterial large subunit ribosomal RNA
Source: RNAcentral